CAGCCGCGUAAUUCCAGCUCCAAUAGCGUAUAUUAAAGUUGUUGCAGUUAAAAAGCUCGUAGUUGAAUUUCGGGAUUGACACAUCGGUCGUGCCUUAAGGGGUAUGAACUGGUGUAGUCAAUUUCUCACCUUCUGGAGAACCGCAAUGCCCUUAAUUGGGUGUCGCGGGGAACCAGGACCUUUACUUUGAAAAAAUUAGAGUGUUUAAAGCAGGCAUUUUGCUUGAAUACAUUAGCAUGGAAUAAUAAAAUAGGACGGAUGAUUCUAUUUUGUUGGUUUCUAGGACCACCGUAAUGAUUAAUAGGGAUAGUUGGGGGCAUUAGUAUUCAAUUGUCAGAGGUGAAAUUCUUGGAUUUAUUGAAGACUAACUACUGCGAAAGCAUUUGCCAAGGAUGUUUUCAUUAAUCAAUAACGAAAGUUAGGGGAUCGAAGACGAUCAGAUACCGUCGUAGUCUUAACCAUAAACUAUGCCGACUAGGAAUCAGACGAUGUUAAUUUUUUAAUGACUCGUUUGGCACCUUACG
RNAcentral lists this unclassified non-coding RNA (524 nucleotides) under uncultured Glomeromycotina. RNAcentral's name for it is "SSU rRNA". It matches the Rfam family "Eukaryotic small subunit ribosomal RNA", at positions 571 to 1092 of the family's 1831-position model. Lineage: Eukaryota; Fungi; Glomeromycota. The record is from RNAcentral.